Cebus imitator (Panamanian white-faced capuchin) is the source of this 1649-nucleotide long non-coding RNA. RefSeq lists it as uncharacterized. The record is from RefSeq and is a predicted model, not a curated record. NCBI's taxonomy places the organism in Eukaryota, Metazoa, Chordata, Mammalia, Primates, Cebidae. The transcript is spliced from 3 exons.
CACCUACAGUUAAUUUGAACAGCUGUACAUCCUUUUAAAAAUCUUAAAAAUCAGAGUGAACUCUCAGAUAUCAAGAUACAGAUAAUAUAAUGCAUGCUGAUUUACUCAUGACCCACUAGAAGUAAAACAUCAUAAUAUAGUGCUGUGUAGUUCUUUCUCAAUUUCAUUUUUUUUCUCUCUUACCACAGAAGUAACCAUGACCUGAAUUUGUUUUAGCAUUCCUUCAUUAAACAAGUACUGAUUGCCUGCUAUGUCCUAGGCACUUUUCACAGGCACUGACGAUUUGGGAACUUGAAGGCACAUUCAGCUUGAAACUUCUCACUUGCUUGAAGUAAUUUCUCAUCUUCCUGAGACUCAAACUUCAAAAAGAAACACUUCAUAGAGUUUAUAUAUGAUUACAAGAGAGAAAGUGCAUGUUCAGAUUCCACAGUCAACACACGCAUUAAAUGUAUGGUUUGUGGAACACCUGGAAGCGAUACCUAACCCAGGCUCGGAGGACACAUCUCUGUUGGCUGAAGAAACUAAAUGUGAACUUGUAAGAUGUUGGUGACCAUGUGGCCAACUAGAGAAAACCUGUCUGCAAAGGAGGAACAUGAAGCCAACAUAUCAAAGAAGCUGAGAGAGGAAGGAGAAGGGUCCUGGCAGCAGGCCAGGUACUGAUACACUCAUGCCAUUCAACAUUUUUAGAUAUUUAGUACUAUUUUGAGAUUUCAUCAUCCAGUAGACUCCUCUUAGUACCUAAGUUAGUUCAAAAUUGGGCUUUUAUCUCCUGUGAUCAAAGUCCAAAUGAAUACAGAGAAGAACCAAAUAACCAAACAUAUUCUUCAAGAAUAGUUUUGGCAUGAAAAAUCUUCCUGGUACUAAUUCCUGAUGGCUUUCCAUUUACCUUACUAAGUAUUAAUAAAAGUGUGUGUGUCUACAGCUCAUGAAAAGCAGGGAAAAAGAAAAAAAAAGUGCAUGUGUCUGGUUUCACUGGCCUGCCCUCCCUACACAGACCUGUUACCUGCAAUUCCUCAAAGACUUCUCUACCCCAUGCCCAGAGAUGUAAUCUGCUCUAUUCUGAGUCUUUGUUCCUCCUGCUGCCCUUGACCAGGAUGAAUGCCCAGCCCUGUUCCUUUUUCUCCUUCCUGCCCCACCAACCCUACGGCUAUUCAGAUCCUGUCCCUCUAGUUUUCCCUAGUGCUUUACCACUGUGCUGAGUACAUUAUGCUUAGUAAGUACUGCAUUAUGGAAUUGAAUUCCUGACUAAGGCAUUCAGUAAUUAGCCAUAUUAUUAGCCUUAUUAACCCUUAAGAUACUUUCAACUCUACAAUGCUAAUUGUACGCAGUUCAGUUGACUCAAAAUCCUGGUAACUGAUUAGUUUAUAUAUCAUUAUAUUGAGGCAGAGAGAUUAUUCAAAUGGUGAAUUCAAGAAAAUGCAUGGAAAGGUUAUGUAUACAGGUGCAAUAAAAGAGAAACUGCUAUCGCUAGUGACAGCAUAACAAAAACAAAAUACAUAUACAAUAAUAUACUAAACAGCACCACAGGUACUUUAUUCUUUUAUUAACCCCUCUAUGGCAAUUUCUUACCUGAAAUACCUUUUCCAUAAUUUCUCGGUCAUAGACUGGAAUUUGCUUAUAAUUUCGGAAUUCGGGCACCUCUUGGCUUC